Molecule: non-coding RNA, 29 nt
Filed under: Macaca fascicularis (crab-eating macaque)
Lineage: Eukaryota; Metazoa; Chordata; Mammalia; Primates; Cercopithecidae
Also listed under: 1 other name
Source: RNAcentral
UUAAACAUUGUGGUCAUCAUUGAGAUAGG